CACUUCGACCACUGCUUACCGACCACCUACUGAGUGCCAGGCGCUAUGGUGGGCGCUCGGGCUGCAGGCCAAGCAGAGCAACGUCUCAGGCCUCAUGGAGCUCGCAGUCCAGUGCAAAUACCCAGAAAUGAAAUUAAAGGACAUUUGGUAUUUUUAACUCUCUGAGGAACCUCCCUACUGUUCUCCAGUUACAUCCCCACCCACAGUGCGUGAGUGUUCCCUUUUCCCCACAUCCUCACCAAUAAAUCUUACCCAUUCUGACAGGCA
Long non-coding RNA from Leopardus geoffroyi (Geoffroy's cat), 267 nucleotides. RefSeq lists it as uncharacterized. The transcript is spliced from 2 exons. Lineage: Eukaryota; Metazoa; Chordata; Mammalia; Carnivora; Felidae. The record is from RefSeq and is a predicted model, not a curated record.